Egretta garzetta (little egret) is the source of this 3503-nucleotide RNA transcript. It is a transcript of the gene named C-X9-C motif containing 1, with no coding region annotated. The transcript has 5 exons. Lineage: Eukaryota; Metazoa; Chordata; Aves; Pelecaniformes; Ardeidae. The record is from RefSeq and is a predicted model, not a curated record.
CGCGGGGCCUUGCCGCCCCCCGGCCUGCUGUGGCCCCCUGCCCGGGAAACGAGCCUAAAGGCAGAGGUUGAAGGUCACGUGGUCCUCGGCUUCACAUUACCGACGUCUCGUCGGAACAGUUACAGCCACGUAUCCUCAGAAGUGAAUCUAAGCCCGUGUCCUUACACCCAGAAAAUUCUAAGCUGAGACAUGUAGAAAAAGAUGUUUUGAUUCCACAAAUAAUGAGAGAGCGAGCCAAGGAGCUGUGUUCAGAUAAAGUGCAAGCAUUCACCAAAUGCUGUCAAGAAACUGGUCUUCUUAUGGUGGUGAAGUGUCGGCAAGAGAACACAGCACUGAAAGAUUGUCUGGUUGGCUACUAUUCUGAUCCAUUAUUCUAUGAGGAAUGCAAAACAGAGUAUUUGAAGCAAAGAGAAGAAUACAGAGCAACUGGAAUUAAGAAAAAAAGACAGAAGUUUACCUCAAAUGUGUAGUUGAAACUUAAAACUAACUUUUCAGAUUUUAUAUCCAACUUUGAUUUGAAUUGAUUUAAACAGACUUAAAUCAUCUGUACCCCCAUUUAACAGAAAAACGCAAAAUGAGAUAAAUGGAGAAUAAAAUAAUCUCUGAACCUAAAAGUAUUUUUUUUUAUUUUCUGUAAUUAAAGAUAUAAAGCACACUGUCACAGUUUGCAAGAUAAGUCGCAAAGGUCUGUUCCUCUGUCUGGACUUGAGAUUUGGAAACUCAUUUACAAAUGGCCUUUUGGAAUUUAAGGCUUGUGGCUAGUUAUGUGUGGCAGGCUACAUAAAAACUUAAGGGUGAAUAAUUUAAGUUGUAUUAACUGAUCACAAGCUGGGUAUACAUUAAAAUUGGUCUAUUUGUCAUCUGAAGCUGAGGGUGUAUGGAGAUGCUCUUGAUGCUCUUACAAGAAGAGAAGGGUGGCAAAUGCAGAAGAGCUGAGCUUCUUGGACCAAUUUGAUGUAUCUUUUUCAUGAAAACGUUGAGUCAUAUGAGAGCCUGAUGAGUCUGUGUUGCCGGAAGAGAUGGAUGCCCCAAUGCCUCUGUGUGGCCCAGACUGACUGUUUCAACUCUAGAGGAAAAAAGUCGCCUGAUCGAGACCUUCCCUGAGAAUGGGAGACUCAGGCACGCCGGAGGCAAAAUCAUCGAGUGCGGUAUCCUCCCCUGCUUUCCUCUUUCAGAACGAAGAUGAUUGUAUAAGCUGCCACACUUCAGGAGUGAGCAAGUGACCACGCUUGCAAAAUUACUAUGGGUAGAGCUACUUCCGCGUGUAACUCGCUGUCACCGUGAUGAAAGGCUUUCACUUCUGAAAAUGGAAAAAGCACUGUAAGCCACUAGCAGUGCGGAUUUAAAUGACUUUUCCAUCCCGAGUCAAAAUUUGAUCGCAUGCUCCAGCCCAACAGACCUCUCACAAGCCAGCUGGCUCCCAGCCAACUUCAAAGCUGGGGGCUUCCUUUUCAAGCGCUACCAUUUUGCCGCAGCAGCGAGGGAGGGGACUGGAAAUGGUGCCCACAGCCAGCUCCCCCCGUCCCGCCCUCCUCGCUCAGGUAGCAGCAGCUCUUCCAAAGUCCGCCUCGGCGAACACCACUGCUCCCCUCUCCAGCAUGGGAAGCAGCACAGAAGAUAAACCCAGGCUCAAAGGCAAAGCUCAGGUAUCUCAGCCACUGCCUGGAGAAGCUUAAUUUUUUAUGUUUCCCUGUCACCCAGGACAGGCUGAUCAGGAACCCUUUGACACAAGCAGUCAAACUCAAGAGGAACACGCCAUAGCUUAAGGUAACUCAGUCCUUCGGGUUUCAACAUCUAAGAGAAUAGACUGAAGCAGUCUGCAGGGGAUGUUUGGUUUUUACCUGCACAGAGGAGGAUGAACCUCAAAUUAAUUGCUUGUGUUUGGAAUGACCUUUAUACACAAUCUAGAAAUUAAAACCAAGUAAAAAAAAAAAAAUUUGUGCCAAAUACUGAAAGGAGAUUUGUAAGUGAAACCAAUUUCGAACAAAAAUAAAUUUAUUUAAUAUCUUACACAGUAGAAUUCCUUCAUUGCACAAAUCAAAGUAUCAAUUAUGGUGAUGUCUGUUGGAUGAUACAUUACUUAAUAAAAACCCCUCUGUUCUGUGGAGGUGGGGAACCCCCAAAAGUCAGCUACAUUAGAACUAGACACCACAGAGCUUACGCAGCCGCACGAGAAAUGUUUUCUGCUGCUUUGUUAUUACACAGGUAGUUGGUUCUGUCAGCUCAAGCCUAGUGACUUGGAUUUGUUUUAUGCAUAUUGGGUUUUGUUCUAUUACUUUCCAAGAGAUUGUACUCCCCUGAGUCAGCCGUGUUCAUUGGUCAGAAUAAAUUCCAGCAUCUGACACCAUUUCCAUUAAUCACAGACAAGCCAGGAUACGUGAGCAAGAUAAUAGAAAGAUAAAAAACAAUAUCUGGUGAACGGGAAACACUGUUUAUGUAUGCUGCUCACUACCACCCUAGAAGGUAUCUGGAAGGCAUUUUUUCAACUUUGAUAGGCAAACGGAAAGAAGAGAAGAAGAUGGGCAUCCUAUGAAGUACUCGCUCCGCAGGGAAGAAAGCAUCUGGAACCACACGGGUUGUGUAGCACCUUGGUAAUGCUUUUACAGCCCAUCGUUACUACGGCUGUGCUGCAGUCAUAGCUUCCUUCUGUAUUUCUGAGCACUUUUAAGAUAAUUUGCUGCUAAAAAGCUGAGAAACUAAUUUUUAUUCUACUGAGCUUAAGCUGGGCCUGUGAAGUUGAAUACUUCACCCACCCACCCACCUGUAAAUAACAUAUUUAGUAUUAAGUGUCUUCCCACCCAUUACGAGUUAGAUACGGAUCUAAAAUACAAAGCAUUUUUCUUGAACAUAUUUGAGCAGUCAAAAGCGUUUCACUUAACCCUGUUAUAUUAAGCCAGAUACGAAGCAGAGCAGGUUUGGGUUUUUUUUUUUAAAAAAAAAAAAAAAAAAAAAAGCAUAAAUUGUUCUUGGCCUCAGGAGAAAAAAAAUAGCACUUAAGACAUCCAUAAUCUAUAAAGCAGACAGUUGCAAUUCACUUAACUCUAGUCUUAGUGGCAUACUAAAAGAUACCACAAAAAUACUCCUUGUGUAUCUCAACAAUGCUACAACACCUCAUCCGAUUAAAUUAAGGCUUUGUCUCUUUAAUAAAAGAAAAGUUAGUAGCCUUCACCACCACACAAAUAGUCGAGUCGAGGCCCUGGUGCCGUGCAGAGGCGGCUCGGUAACUGCGCUGCGAAGAGGGCGAGUCCGGGGCAGGCACCGCUGUGUGCAGCCUUGAGUCGGUUUCUUGCAGCAUGAACUGAGGGAAAUGAGCUGAAUGUCCGCGAUUCUCAGCGCUCGGCAGCAGCACUUGUGUUCCUUUAUAAUUCACAAUAAGGCCCAAAUUGGUGCAAUCUAAACAGGAAGCCUAUGCGUGAUUAUUCCCUUGCCAUUAUCUAAUAGAAAUCAAGAUUUCAACAAAAAAAAAACAAACAAAAAAACCACCCCUUCUCACCUUUCUUGUU